UGGUUGAAAGCAGCAGUCUUUUAAAAGCAGCAGCAACAAUAAUAUUUCGUAUCUUCAGCAGGAGAAGAGCAGGCAGGCUGAGGAGGUAGCCACGAGUGUCUAGCGGCCCCGAGAAAGUGCAUCUGUGAGAGAAGAUGCAGACACUUGGGUACAAGGAAGCUACCUACAUUGGACACUUGUCCCCCGUCUCCAUGCCCCGACCCAGUCACUUUUUGCAACACACAGAAGCAGUGUUUUGAUAUUAAGGUUGCAUUGGGAGAGGCAGGGGUGUCGACAAAAACAAGGUUGUAAUUUCAACUCUUUCUUGGGGGUGGCAGGCAUAAAUUUCACCAAGCAGGUGUAGAGAGGUCUGGGAAAAUACCCAAGACUGAUGCCACUUCCCUUAGACUGGAAGCAACACCCCACCCCCAACCUUUGCAAACUGUCCCAACCCCUCUUCCGGAGUCAGGGUGUGCGAAUGCUGCAGCUCGCAAUGAACUUUGUCUAUUAUGCACUGGACUCCUACUUGAGAUGUCGCGCUGCAGCCGCGCGCGCUCCCUCUCUUCCUUCGGCAUCCACGUCUUCCGCCCCACAUCUAUUUCAUGUCUCAUCAUAAAAAUAAUGAUGCCUCCCAUGAUUUAAACAAAAACAAACGAACACAAAACCGUCUCUGCAGACCUGCAGCCCGGUGAAAGUUGCAGAUGGUUCGCGAGCAGCUUUACUUUAUGCUUCAUUGAGAGAGGAUGGGGAAGAAGAAGAAGAAGAAGAAAAAAAAAAAACACCCAACAUCCGCACACGCACGCGCGCACCAGCAGACACACACAGCACAAAUAAGCCGACGCGUGUGUACACAGUCUCUCACUUACCUUCUCAAUUAAGCAAUACAGGGGAGGGUGUUCAGUGAGCACAGCGGCUGCUUGGUAGCGCUUCUCCUUGGGAAAGGUCAAAAAGAAACAUUGUUUGAAAAAAAACGGGGGGGUAGAAUCUCUAUUUUUUUUUUAAGUUUAAAAUAAUGAGGUCCUCCAGGAUCCGCCAAGUACCAGUGUGGACCGCAUGCGAGCCACAGGUGUCCUUCUUUUAGGCAACUGCAGUCCGGGGGAUGUCUCUCUUGGUCCUGGCUCCUGACAACUUACCCCAGCAGCGUGCGAGGAGCCCGAGCUGAAGGAAGCCCUGGCUCUCAGCCGCAAAAUGCAAUCCCUUCCCAGCCAGACAUAAUACAGCCCAAGAAAAGGUCACCCAGUUAUUACAGCGCCUUGGAGCCCAGGCAGCGCCUGUCAGAACCACAGUGGAGGCAGCUCCCUUCCGAUUUAAGAGUAUUUACCUCUCGCCCCCACCCCUCCCUCUUCUCUCUCUUCCUUCUCUCCCUCCCUCUAGCUGGCUCCCUCGCUCGCUAGAGCGCUCUCUCUCUCUCUCUCUCUCUCUCUCUCUCUCUCUCUCUCUCUCUCUCUCUCUCUCUCUCUCUCUGCUGUCUGUUCUGCAGCUCAGUCAAAUACAGCCGCCCUCGGAAAGUGCAAAAGCAGCCACGAGACAGAUCCAGGCUUUGUUGCUAAUUUCCCAGGGUGAAAAUUGACAAGCCUGGAGUGCAGUCAGCACAACCCAGUGCAUAUGCUCCUGACAAACGCUGGGGACAUCCCCUCCCACCCACCCCCAUCACACAGAGAACGUGACCUCUGCAGGACUGGACUCUGGGAAGGACCCUACCUCCAGGACUCGCCCACAAGAAGAACUGUGAAAGAGCUCCGGAGAAGGAUGAAAACUUUAAGGAACAAUGAAGGAGAGAGGUGCCGCUCUGAACCGGACUAAGGUGCAGAACUGGAGUGAGUUGUUGUCCCCCAACCCCCGAAUUGGAACACUGCACUGAAUAAAAGCUUAAGACACAAA
Rattus norvegicus (Norway rat) is the source of this 1860-nucleotide non-coding RNA. NCBI's taxonomy places the organism in Eukaryota, Metazoa, Chordata, Mammalia, Rodentia, Muridae. The record is from RefSeq and is a predicted model, not a curated record.